UACGGGGGGGGCAAGCGUUGUUCGGAAUUACUGGGCGUAAAGGGCUCGUAGGUGGCCAACUAAGUCAGACGUGAAAUCCCUCGGCUUAACCGGGGAACUGCGUCUGAUACUGGAUGGCUUGAGAUUGGGAGAGGGAUGCGGAAUUCCAGGUGUAGCGGUGAAAUGCGUAGAUAUCUGGAGGAACACCGGUGGCGAAGGCGGCAUCCUGGACCAACACUGACACUGAGGGGCGAAAGCCAGGGGAGCAAACGGG
Molecule: ribosomal RNA, 253 nt
Filed under: uncultured bacterium
Lineage: Bacteria
Description: partial 16S ribosomal RNA
Rfam family: Bacterial small subunit ribosomal RNA
Source: RNAcentral